GGUUUCAUAGUGUAAUGGUUAGCACUCUGGGCUCUGAAUCCAGUGAUUUGAGUUCAAAUCUCAAUGAAACCU
Molecule: non-coding RNA, 72 nt
Organism: Protopterus annectens (West African lungfish)
Lineage: Eukaryota; Metazoa; Chordata; Ceratodontiformes; Protopteridae
Source: the annotation of a RefSeq genome assembly